AGAUGGCGACCGGCGCACGGGUGAGUAACACGUAUCCAACCUGCCGAUAACUCGGGGAUAGCCUUUCGAAAGAAAGAUUAAUACCCGAUGGUAUAAUCAGACCGCAUGGUUUGAUUAUUAAAGAAUUUCGGUUAUCGAUGGGGAUGCGUUCCAUUAGGCAGUUGGUGAGGUAACGGCUCACCAAACCUUCGAUGGAUAGGGGUUCUGAGAGGAAGGUCCCCACAUUGGAACUGAGACACGGUCCAA
RNAcentral lists this ribosomal RNA (246 nucleotides) under uncultured bacterium. RNAcentral's name for it is "partial 16S ribosomal RNA". It matches the Rfam family "Bacterial small subunit ribosomal RNA", at positions 86 to 334 of the family's 1533-position model. The record is from RNAcentral.